This 286-nucleotide small RNA is filed under the name Pongo abelii (Sumatran orangutan). RNAcentral's name for it is "retained intron". The record is from RNAcentral. Lineage: Eukaryota; Metazoa; Chordata; Mammalia; Primates; Hominidae.
GGCGCUUUUGGCCCUGCGGGAGGGGCCGGGCUCGAUGAGAAAAGCAUCAUUCAAGCUCAGAUUCGUAUUGAAGCCUGCCACAAGGUCCACCUGUUGUGGGUUUGUGUGUGACCAGGUGAGUACAGUGUGGAACCUACAACAAGGUUCCAGCAGGCUCUGCUGUGUAGAACUGCUGGUGGGCUUUUCCUGUGCUGGGGUUGUAACCACAUGGAAGUCACUAAGAGUGAAGGUAUCUUAAGGAAAGUUCAAGGUAAAAAGACAGAGGUAUUUAUGGUUGCAUGUGUGU